RNAcentral lists this ribosomal RNA (465 nucleotides) under uncultured Klebsiella sp. RNAcentral's name for it is "bacterial SSU rRNA". It matches the Rfam family "Bacterial small subunit ribosomal RNA", at positions 338 to 795 of the family's 1533-position model. Lineage: Bacteria; Pseudomonadati; Pseudomonadota; Gammaproteobacteria; Enterobacterales; Enterobacteriaceae. The record is from RNAcentral.
CCUACGGGAGGCAGCAGUGGGGAAUAUUGCACAAUGGGCGCAAGCCUGAUGCAGCCAUGCCGCGUGUGUGAAGAAGGCCUUCGGGUUGUAAAGCACUUUCAGCGGGGAGGAAGGCGGUGAGGUUAAUAACCUCAUCGAUUGACGUUACCCGCAGAAGAAGCACCGGCUAACUCCGUGCCAGCAGCCGCGGUAAUACGGAGGGUGCAAGCGUUAAUCGGAAUUACUGGGCGUAAAGCGCACGCAGGCGGUCUGUCAAGUCGGAUGUGAAAUCCCCGGGCUCAGCCUGGGAACUGCAUUCGAGCCUGGCAGGCUAGAGUCUUGUAGAGGGGGGUAGAAUUCCAGGUGUAGCGGGGAAAUGCGUAGAGAUCUGGAGGAAUACCGGUGGCGAAGGCGGCCCCCUGGACAAAGACUGACGCUCAGGUGCGAAAGCGUGGGGAGCAAACAGGAUUAGAUACCCGUGUAGUC